This 301-nucleotide ribosomal RNA is filed under the name uncultured bacterium. Its description in RNAcentral is "partial 16S ribosomal RNA". It matches the Rfam family "Bacterial small subunit ribosomal RNA", at positions 509 to 808 of the family's 1533-position model. The record is from RNAcentral.
CAGCCGCCGCGGAAUACGGAGGGUGCAAGCGUUAAUCGGAAUUACUGGGCGUAAAGCGCACGCAGGCGGUUUGUUAAGUCAGAUGUGAAAUCCCCGAGCUUAACUUGGGAACUGCAUUUGAAACUGGCAAGCUAGAGUCUUGUAGAGGGGGGUAGAAUUCCAGGUGUAGCGGUGAAAUGCGUAGAGAUCUGGAGGAAUACCGGUGGCGAAGGCGGCCCCCUGGACAAAGACUGACGCUCAGGUGCGAAAGCGUGGGGAGCAAACAGGAUUAGAUACCCGAGUAGUCCCUGUCUCUUAUACA